GCGGAGGAAAAGAAACCAACAGGGAUUGCCUCAGUAACGGCGAGUGAAGCGGCAACAGCCCAGAUUUGAAAUCUGACCCUCGGGUCCGAGUUGUAAUCUGCAGAUGAGUCUUUUGGUGGAGCGCCGUCCAAGUUCCCUGGAAUGGGACGCCGGAGAGGGUGAGAGCCCCGUACCGACGUGCGCCGAGCCUCUGCAAAGCUCAUUCGACGAGUCGAGUAGUUUGGAAAUGCUGCUCUAAUCGUGGGGUAAAUCUCCCAUAAGGCUAAAUACUGGCCAGAGACCGAUAGCGCACAAGUAGCGUGAGCGAAAGAUGAAAAGAGCCUUGAAUAAGGGCGUCAAAAAGCAUGUGAAAUUGUUGUGGGGGAAGCGCUCAACGCCAGACGUGGCGGCGGUUGGUUACCCGGCGUUCUUCGCCGGCGCACUCGGCCGUCGCCAGGCCAGCAUCAGUUCGGCCUGGGGCUUACUGCCGUGGGGAAUGUGGCCCUUCGGGGUGUUAUAGCCUCGCGGAGACGUCCUGGGCCGGACUGAGGAACGCGCAUCUGCC
This 544-nucleotide ribosomal RNA is filed under the name Sterigmatobotrys uniseptata. RNAcentral's name for it is "eukaryotic LSU rRNA". It matches the Rfam family "Eukaryotic large subunit ribosomal RNA", at positions 50 to 607 of the family's 3401-position model. The record is from RNAcentral. Lineage: Eukaryota; Fungi; Ascomycota; Sordariomycetes; Pleurotheciales; Pleurotheciaceae.